Molecule: small nucleolar RNA, 108 nt
Organism: Heteronotia binoei (common prickly gecko)
Lineage: Eukaryota; Metazoa; Chordata; Lepidosauria; Squamata; Gekkonidae
Source: RefSeq, a predicted model, not a curated record
CACCUGUGAUGACCCGCCAUGCUAAUACCGAGGCACUGAAUCAAGCUUUUGGCUCGGAAUCGGGUGUCCAUGAGUUAAGCUUGCUUCUCAAGAGGAGAACUGAGGUGC